GUUGAAAACUAAUAUUUCGUUUCACUUUUGCAGCUUUGAUAAAUAACAAUUCGUUUUUUGGACGAUUCCUUGGGAAUACGUUUUGGUUUAUAGCUAUCGGUUAUUACAUUUACAUUACGUCUCUCGGCUACGCAAAUAUCGAGAUACUCCAUAAAACGCACCUGUUACUGUCUAGCCUACCUGUAAUACUGCUGACAUACGUUAUUACAUUAUGCGCCGGUAUCAAUAUUAGUUAUUUAGUUAUGGAGUUCUAUCGUUAUCGGGCUCUGUAAAAUAUUUGUAUUAAAUCGCUGUCCUGUACGUCGGACUAACACAAACACCUGAUUGUGCAGUA
Long non-coding RNA from Wasmannia auropunctata (little fire ant), 334 nucleotides. RefSeq lists it as uncharacterized. The transcript is spliced from 2 exons. Lineage: Eukaryota; Metazoa; Arthropoda; Insecta; Hymenoptera; Formicidae. The record is from RefSeq and is a predicted model, not a curated record.